This 6174-nucleotide long non-coding RNA is filed under the name Oryza sativa (Asian cultivated rice). RNAcentral's name for it is "long non-coding RNA (OSAT_LNC001859)". The record is from RNAcentral. Lineage: Eukaryota; Viridiplantae; Streptophyta; Magnoliopsida; Poales; Poaceae.
CAGCCGAGACCACGCGCGAGGAUCGUUGGGGACUGCGCUGCCGCUACAUGCGGACGGGGCAGCCGAGCGUGUCCGUGUAUGUGACGGCGAGAUGACCAAACAGAAGUCUGAGCUGGUAUGUGUUACUAUUAUUUUAUUAGAGAGGAAACUGUUCAAUGGAAAUGUGUAGUGUUGUUUAUCUACUUUCUUCGUUGCAGAGCGUAAGUAUUUUUAAGGUAGAUAUCGAUAUUAAGAGAGUGAGUAGAGAAGAUUGGAGAAUAUUGCGAUUGGUGAAUAAGAUAAAGUAGAUGAAGAGAAUGGUUGCGAUUGGUUGAGAGGAGAUAGUAGGUGAAGAAAUAGUUACCGUGCUAAAAAUAACUAUAUUUUAGAAUGGAUAUAAUACUACAUAUCAAUAUGAUGUUGAUCAUUUUUUUUUCACAUUACAAGGAACUAGCUGGAUGGCCCGCGCAAUUGCGCGGCUAGCACCCAUAUAAAAUUAUAUAUUUUUAAUAUGACUUUACUUCAAAUUUAUUAAAUAGUUAUCUCGUUGUCUUAAGAUUUUUAAAGACUAAACCUUAUUAUCCUCGCGUUUCUAAUUUCUUUAGUUUCUAAAGUCACAACAGUUGCUACCCCUUACUUCUGUCAUAUUAUUCUUUAUUUGUUUGCUCGAUCUAUCACAGUUUUCUAUUCAUUCUCCUUGGAAUCUUUAAAAAUUGGAUCUAAAAACUUAUAGGUUUUAGAGUUUAUUGUCCUGUUGGGCAUCUUUUUUAUAAUUUCUAGAAGUCCCGUCAAACACUACCAUUAUACUCAUCUAUGAUCGUCCACUGCAUCUUCUCUCUAUUGUCAUUGCUAUUUUAAAAAUCGAACAUAAUUAUCGUUUAGGUUUAUUUUUUUACUUUCUAUAAGUUCCGCCAAAACGUCAGCGACUUUGUCACUGUACUCCUCUACGACUCACCCGCUGCCGCCCUUCUUCAUUGUCAUUGAGAUUUUAAAAUCAAACAGGAUUAUCAUUGGGGUUUAUUUUUUUUUACUUUUUAGAAACCCGAACCUUUAAAAAUUGGAGUUUAUUGUCUUGUUGGAUUUCAUUUUUCUUUUAUAAUUUCUAGAAAUCCCAUUAAACGCUGCCACUAUACUCCUCUAUGACCCGUCCGCCGCAUACUCUUUAUUAGGAUUGUAAAAGUCAAACAUAACUAUCAUUGGAAUUUAUUUAUUUUUACUUUAUAGAAGACUCACCAACCAUCGGCGACUUUGCCAUUGUACUCCUAUACGACUCGACCGCUGCCUCUCAUUUUUAUUAUUAUUGAGAUUUUAAAAAUCAAAUAUGAUUAUCAUUGGGUUUAUUUUUUUACUUUCUAGAAGUCCUGCCACCUACCUUCAAAUUUUCUGAAAUUUUAAAUUUUAAGUUAAUUUUAAAUUAUAUUCCUACUUGAACUCUUCUUUUCUUUUCUUUUUUCUAAUUUUGAUUUUUUUUAUUUUUUAUUCCGAAAUUUAAUUAAUCUCGUAUUGGAUUCUUAUAUGGACUCUUCUUUCAAUAUUCCUUAUUUUUAAUUCCCAAUUUCUGCUAUUUUUAAAUUGUAAUCCUACUUGGACUCUUUUUUUUUUGCUAAUUUCAGAUUUUAUUUUAUUUUUAUUCCGAAUUUUGAUUAAUCUCGUAUUGGGUUCCUAUAUGGAAUCUUCUUUCAAUAUUUCUUAUUUUGAAUUCCGAAUUUCAGCUAUUUUUAGAUUAUAUUCUUACUUAGAUUUUUUUUUUGCUAAUUUCGGAUUUUAUUUUAUUUUUAUUCCGAAUUUAGAUUAAUCUCGUAUUGCGUUCCUUUAUGGACUCUUCUUUCAAUAUUGCUUACUUUUAAUUUCGAAUUUAAGCUAUUUUUAGAUUGUAUUUCUACUUGGACUCUUCUUUUCUUUUUCUUCGAUUAAUGUGGAAAUUUCUAGCCCCCACAGUGAACGUAAAAAUCAAAUAUAAUUAUCAUUGGGUUUAUUUUUUUUUACUUUUUAGAAGACCCGCCAAACGCCUUGACCGAUUGCUUCACGACCUGCCCGUUGUACUUCUUUUUAGUCGUCAUUAAUAUUCUAUUUGAUGUUUUAUUAAUAGUUUUUAGAUGUUCCAUCAACCGCCACCACUCUACUGCAUGUUACUUAAUUAAUCUCGUCAUGUGUUUCAGAUGGUCUUUUCUUUUAGUAAUCUUUAUUUUUUUAUCACCAAUUUUAGUUAUUUAUAAAUUGUAUUCCUAGCUGAUAUCUUAUUUUUCUUUUUCUAAUUUCAGAAUUUAUUUUAUUUUUCGUAUUGUGUUCUUUAGAUUUUUUUUAUUUUUACUUUGAAUUUCAGUUGUUUUAAAAUUGUAUUUCUACUUUAACUCUCUUUUUAAUUUUCCUAAUUUCAGAUUAUAUUUUAUUUUUUAUUCCGAAUUUUAGUUAAUCUACUAUUGGGUUCUUAUAUGUACUCUUAUUUCAAUAUUGCUUAUAUUUAAUUUCGAAUUUUAGUUAAUUUUAAAUUAUAUUCUUACUUGAACUAUUCUUUUCUUUUCCUUUUUCUAAUUUCGAUAUUUAUUUUUUUUAUUCCGAAUUUUAAUUAAUCUCGUAUUGGGUUAUUGUAUGGACUCUUCUUUUAAUAUUCCUUAUUUUAAUUCCUAAUUUCAGCUAUUUUUAAAUUGUAUUCCUACUUAGACUCUUUUUUUGCUAAUUUCGGAUUUUAUUUUAUUUUUAUUUCGAAUUUUGAUUAAUCUCGUAUUGGGUUCCUAUAUGGAAAUUUCUUUCAAUAUUGCUUACUUUUAAUUCCGAAUUUCAGCUAUUUUUAAAUUGUAUUCCUACUUGGACUCUCUUUUUCUUUUUUUUCUUUUUCUCUGAUUAAUGUGGGAAUUUUUAGCCCCCACAGCGAACGUGGUGCCUCCUUUCAAAGCUGUUUUGAUAAUAUAAUAGAUAGAUAUACAUGUGUGCAUACGCAUUAUGUACGUAGAAAUGGAGUGCCAAGAUCCUUUGCUCAAAAAAAGGGCAUUAUAUAUGUACGUAUACCACGUGCACACAUCUAUAAAUAUGUCCUCUAACGCAUGUCUAAAGAAUGAAGAUCGACAACAAAUUCCUGACCUCAAUCAUUAAUAUCAUAUUCAAAGCGUACUCACAUGGACGUGGUAUUCAUGAGCGAUAGGUUACUAGUGCAAACAGUGUUAAAACUGUUACCAGGAAAAUAUCCGAUGUACGAUUAGAGUGUACAAGGUUGCAACUUACGGAGUAUAUAUAACCAAAACACAAGAAGCCUUUUAAUAUACUGACUAUGAAAACUAUGUGCUACAUUAUAUUGGUGUUGGGCUUUCACUUAUUCUAUCUUAUUCAAAUUAUACAAAGGUUAAUUUCAUGGCUGUUGAGGACCGGUGUCUCCAUAUCCCGAUCCAUGACCUAAACCUUCACCAUAUCCACCUCUAGCGCUAUCACCGGCACCUCCACCGUCACCUUUACUCUUCGCAUACUCAUCACCGUAUUGAUUACCAGCCUCACCUAUACCAACGCCGGAACCAAAUCCAUGUCCAAAUCUAUUAGGUCCACCGUACCCACCACCACCUCCACUCCCUCGACCACCAGCCUUAUAGUAUCAAUUAUUAUAUGGCCAGCCGCCGUUAAAUUGACCAAAUCCAACCCCAGAUCCAUAGCCAUCUCCAUAUCCAUUUUGUCCGCCACCUUCCCCUCCACCUCCUCCUCUCCCCCAUGGCAUAGUUUCCAUCAUAAGGGCUAUAACCCCUAGAUUCACCAUACCUAGAGCCCAAACCAGAACUAGAACCAAACCCAUCAUGUUGUCCACCACCUCCGCCUUUGCCACCACCACCACCGUGUGCAAAUGAUGCACCACCAAAGCCAAUAGUUUCACCAUAACCCGAGCCAGACCCUGCACCAUACCCUGAUUCUCUGUUUGUCCCACCACCCCCACCUUUGCCACCACCGCUUCCCAUAGAAUACCCUCCAUCAUAAGGUUUGUAUUUCUUCCCUUCACUAUUUCCAGAACCAGACCCCAAACAAUAACCAAAUCCUCCAUUCCGCCCUCCGCCACCGCCCCCACCCUUUCCACCUCCACUAGCAUAUUGCCCGCUAGAAGGCCCAGAUGCCACAGACUCCCCAUAGCCAGACCCAAAACCUGAACCUGAUCCCCAACCAUUACCAUUGCUUGACCCACCACCGCCUCCUCCACCAGUUGCACUAGCAUAUGCUCCACUAGAAGGCCCAUAAGCUCUAGCCUCUCCAUGUCCUGCCCCAGAACCAGAUCCCCACCCGCCACCAUUUUCUGAGCUACCACCACCUCCUCCUCCACCACCACCUCCGCUUCCAACUUCGACACCAGUGCUGGAAUACCUAUUUACUCUCGUGGCGCUAGACGCUCCAAUGAUCAAUAAGAGCAUAGUGAAGCCAAGAAUUGCGAGCUUAGUGGCAUCCAUUGUGAGCGGAGUAAGAGAAGUGGAAGAUGGACUUCUAUGUGAGUAAUAGUGAUGUAUUUAUAGUAUAUAGUGUUAGUGAGAGUAAUUACAAAAAUGCACGCCUACAAAGGAGAUAUUUUAAAUAAUGAAGUAUGAUCAGUUGAUGAUAUUGAUUUGGGAAGGAAAGAAUCAAAUCAUUAAUACGAGUGCUGGAUCGAAUAUCACAGCGAUCGAGCAUCUGAUGUAGUAAGAAUUUAAUGAUCAGUCACAGCACUAGAUUGUUAAUUUACUGUGAUGAAAUAUCAGUGCAUUGUUUACUGGAGUACUAGUUAUUAUUAGUACUGAAAGCAGCAUCUUCUUCAGAUGUCAAAUGUAUAAGGGAGGCGCCGACCAAGAAGGCAAACAGAAUGGCUCAGAAUUUGUCUACUUAACGUAGGAUCCCUGGGUAUAGAGUCCCCUGCACAGACGUGCAUUGUUCAGACUGACAAUGAAGACGAUCUGCAACGCUGACUUUUUCUUCUUAUUCAUGUAUAAAUUGAUCUGCUUCUUACGAAUUUCUAUGUUCCAAAACAAUAGGAUCUAGAUCGGUCUAAGUAGUUAUAUAUAAGCCAUUUUUUUUUGUCGGUAUACGCUUAUUGAACGUGAGAAACCUUUGGUUGGGCCGAAAAAAAAAUCGAAGCUUGAAUAAAAAAAACCCAAUAACAUUAUAUUUGAAAAUUUGUAAUACCCAAGGAUCCAACGGCCCAUGUAGCCAUGCAUGCAUGUUUCUUUGCAAAAGCAGCCCAUAGUAGCCGAAGCCCAAUAACUGACCGGCUGAACGCCACAGUUGAUGUGUGUCCUCAGAAAAGCCGAUCGACCAGCUCAUCCAGUUCAUGAUCAGCACCGGGUUCACGAUUCCGACGAAAACCGGUCAAAUUCCGUGAAAUUUCGACGUUUCGAUAUGGCUCGGAAUUAAGUUUCGAUUGGAAUUUCGAAGGUUAAACAGUAGAUUUGGUCGAAAUUUAUCAAAAACUGUGACACCGAUAGGGCUCGAAAUUUAGUGGUCAACCGGUAAUGUAAACCUUGAUCAGCACUUAAAUGAUCGAUGUUGGAGAAUUAAAACCGUAGUGUAUCUGUUUGAUCAAAUUUCAACUUAUAUUGUUGACAAUAAGAUUUAAAGUUCUAUACUGGUUUGUUUUGGUAAGUUUACCGUGCUGGAACAUGAAACCUCAUUUAGUUUCUUCGGAAUUCAACGGCAGUAGAGUAGGAGACAUGGUUUGUGUGAGGUACUUAUUAAUUUAGUGGUAUUAUAUAGAGCCAAAGAUUGAUUAUGCUUCAUCAUCAUAUGGUAAGACAACAAGUAAGAACUUACAAAUUGAUUACACAACCACACAUUCAUAUACAGCCAAAGGCAAGGCCUUUAUUCCAUAUAUUAGUUGCAGCACACAAAACAUCUAAUUUAUCAUGUGUAGUACCAGCACACAAAACUUUAAUUCAGUACUUUAAUUCAGAUGAGGGUUUUAUGGGUGCCCACCACCAGACCCGCUUCCUGAGCCGCCUCCGUAGCCACUACCACCUGGACCGCUCCCACCACCUCCGCCGCCGCCACCACCACCGCCGCCGCUAGCAUAAGGUCCAUAAUAUGGCCCACCAGCUUGACCAUAUCCACCGCCAGCACCAUAACCAUACCCGCCGCCUCCACCGCCACCUGCACCGCCGCCACCACCACCGCUAGCAUAAGGUCCAUAAUAAGGCCCACCAGCUUGACCAUAUCCCCCGCCAGCACCAUAACCAUACCCACCGCCUCCACCACCACCGCCGC